AGGAUGACUCUAUUGCUUGGCCCUCCAGGCUGUGGGAAAUCCACUUUAUUACAGGCGCUUGCAGGGAAACCUAACCAUUCUCUCAAGGUCCGGGGAACUGUAACCUACAAUGGUUAUAAGCUCAAUGAGUUUGUUCCAUGCACAGAAGACAUCAGCUUAUAUAAGUCAAUAUGUCUUGCACAUUUCUGAAAUGACUGUGAGGGAAGCACUGGAUUUCGCAGCACGCUGUCAGGGUAUUGGAAGCAGAGCAGGUGCCCUAUUUUCUUCACAUCUUAUGGCCAUAGUCAUAUUCCAUAAAACUAGAUUUAACUUGGAAGCUGUUACAACGACAUAUAUAAUGAAAGAAGUCACCAGAAGGGAGAAGCAAGAAGGAAUUGUCCCAGAUUCAGAUAUUGAUACUUAUAUGAAGGUAUGACAUUUGAGAACAGAAGUUCUAGUUCUUUUCUGAACUAAACAGGCCAUUUCGGUAGAAGGGUUGAAAAAAUCUCUCAUGACAGACUACAUAAUAAAGAUCCUUGGGCUAGACAUUUGUGCUGAGACAAUCGUAGGAGAUCCAAUGCAAAGAGGAAUUUCGGGUGGCCAAAAGAAAAGACUAACAACAGGUAAUGUAAUUAAACUGCCUGUGAGACCUUCCUAAUAAAUUUACCUGCUUUACUUCUAACCAUGAAAUAGUUUGGAUAUCACCCUGCAUUGACACUUGAUGAGGUUAGUUUGCUGUAUCCGACACGGCCAAUAGUUUGCUGUCUGCAACCAUGAAAUACUUUGGAUAUCACCCUGCGUUGACACUUGAUGAGGUCAAGGAGUGGGUACCACUAGCAAGGAACACAAAAAACAUCGGCAAAGAUCAAGCAAGGUCGCAUGUUUCUUCAGAUUGUACUCUCAAGUACAUAAUAGAACACCCAUAACCUAUAUGUGAGUUCAGGUAAAAGUUGGCAUCAAACAUAAUAUGAAGAUAUUUAAAAGGCCACAGCAUGGAUCACUGACCAUUUAUCUUUUGCAAUCAACAAAGACAAUUCUAAUCUAGGAUGCUCUCUGUUAAUCUAGAAUGUUUUACAUUUUAGGACGAUGAUGAUAAAUUGUUGGUUAAAUUAAGUUGUUUUUAUACAGUAUUGUUGUCGGCAUAUUAAUUUACAUUUUGUAAUGUGAUAUUGCAGUUUGUUAUCUCUAUUUUCAUCUCAAUAAAUUGUAUAGA
RNA transcript from Rosa rugosa (rugosa rose), 1192 nucleotides. It is a transcript of the gene named ABC transporter G family member 37-like, with no coding region annotated. The record is from RefSeq and is a predicted model, not a curated record. The transcript is spliced from 5 exons. Lineage: Eukaryota; Viridiplantae; Streptophyta; Magnoliopsida; Rosales; Rosaceae.